RNAcentral lists this long non-coding RNA (583 nucleotides) under Pan troglodytes (chimpanzee). RNAcentral describes it as "long non-coding RNA NONPTRT009060". Lineage: Eukaryota; Metazoa; Chordata; Mammalia; Primates; Hominidae. The record is from RNAcentral.
CGAGCCUGCUUCCAUCUGACGCUGGACGCUUGUCCCUGCCCCGCGUUGCCUUUUAAAUUUUAGCUCAUUCCGAGACACCUGCCGUCAGACAUUUAUGCAGUGUGUGAUUCUUUCUAAAACAACUCCCUGGAAGAGAGGACAUUUAAUUCAACAAUUUAUUGGCCACCUACUGUGCACCAGGCAGUAAACUUGGAACUGGGGCUACUGGGUUACAGCAGUGACCAAGACAGAGGUCCCUGUUCUUAAGGAGCAAGUGAGGGCAACAGAAAAGAGCAGUCAGCUGUCAUGCGAGGGCACUCAAGCAGCCCUGUGGAAAGCUCUACGUGGUGAGAAACUGAAGCCUCCUGCCAACACCAACAAGGAACUGAGACCUACUUCCAACAGCCAUCUGAGUGAUCCAUCCUGGAAUCAGAUCCUCCAGCCCCAGUCAAGUCUUCAGAUGACUGCAGCCCUGACCAGCAUCUCAACUGCAACCUCGUGAAUGACCCUGAGCCAGAACCAUGCAACUGAACUCUGCCUGGAUUCAUGACCCACAGAAACUGUGAGAUGGUAGCUGUUUGCUUUGUUAAGCCUCUAAGUCUGG